AAAAAAAAAAAAAAAAAAGCCUGUUAUAUUUAGGGGGUAAUGGUAAUGCCAUUCCCAGAAAAUUUUAAAUAAUGGUUGUUAUUUAAAUCCAUGUUUUAAGGUUGAGUUCUCCUAAAGCAUUUAUAAGAAUUCCAUGGUUGUUUAUUGUAAAUUGCUAUGAGUUUCUUAUUUAUGCAUGGCUUUGCACUCAGUGCUGGACAUGGGCAGGCAAAAUUGAGUAAAAAUAUCUUUCUCCUUGUAAUUAUGCAAGUGAAUCCCAAUGUUGCUGGCAUAGGCAACCAUCUAACCAAUAAUUGGCAAUUUAGGAGACUUAAAAAAACUUGAUGCCCAUUAUUUGAUUCUUUGUGUGAUUUUCCUUUCUACGAUGGGGACUAGUUCUGGUGGUUUUGGCAUUAGCAUGCAAAAAAUUUUGCUAUUGUGAUUGACUUUAAUUAGGUCUUUUGUGGAAAAUAAUAUGGACUUAAAAAGAUUUACACAUCAAUGUAAAGUUUAUGGACGUGUGAUGUAGGAUGGAAGCACAGUGAAAAACCUCGAUCAUUUCUAAGCCUUAUACAUCCAUUAGUUCACAAGGAAAAUAAAUUAGAAGUCCCCUAGAGAAUAAGGAAAGACUCAAACUAAUUUGAUUAUCUAUCUAGAGGAAUAGUUAGUUUGGAUGGAG
RNAcentral lists this unclassified non-coding RNA (658 nucleotides) under Hevea brasiliensis (rubber tree). Lineage: Eukaryota; Viridiplantae; Streptophyta; Magnoliopsida; Malpighiales; Euphorbiaceae. The record is from RNAcentral.